This 528-nucleotide small RNA is filed under the name Pan troglodytes (chimpanzee). RNAcentral's name for it is "processed transcript". Lineage: Eukaryota; Metazoa; Chordata; Mammalia; Primates; Hominidae. The record is from RNAcentral.
GGUCUCACCUUGUUGCCCAAGCUGGAGUGCAGUUGCCUGAUCUCAGCUCACUGCAACCUCCACCUCCCAGGCUCAAGCUAUCCUCCUGCCUCAGCCUUCCAAGUAGCUGGGACCACAGGUGUGCACCAUCACGCCCAGAUGGAGUGUCGCUCUCUCGCCCAGGCUGGAGUGCAGUGGCGCUAUCUCGGCUCACUGCAACCUCUGCUUCCCAGGUUCAAGUGAUUAUCCUGCCUCAGCCUCCCAAGUUGCUGGGAUUAGAGGCGUGUGCCACCAUGCCUGGCUAAUUUACUAAACUAAUAAAUUACUAAAUUAGUAAGUUACUAGUAAAUUAGUAAUUACUAAAAUAUAAUUUUUAGUAGAGAUGGGGUUUCAUCAUGUUGGCCAGGCUGGUCAUGAACUCCUGACCUCAAUGGAUCCUCCUGCCUCAGCUUCCUGAGUAGCUGGGACCACAGGUGCACACCACCAUGCCCAGGUAAUUAAUUUUUAUUUUUUGUAGAGUCGGGGUCUCCCUAUGUUUCCCAGGCUGGC